GAUAGGUUCUCUUGAGUUUUUGCGACCCUCACAUCCACCCAAAACAAACACUGACGAAGGUAGCGAGAUGAAAUUAAGUCCUUCACUGCACGUGGUGUCUUGAAGAUGAAAGACCAGAGAUGCCUAAGUCUUGGGGAGAUUGGAAGACCCUGGUGACAUAUUCUUCUCCACCAAAUGAGAGACUCACGGGUCGCUAGCAGGAAGAUUGAGAGUGAUGGAGCCUUGAACUGUACUGCCAUACUGGAGGUAACCAAAGAAACCAACGCUGGCGUACAAGCACACUACCAGCAUCAUAGCGGUGUUCAGCAC
Cherax quadricarinatus is the source of this 309-nucleotide non-coding RNA. The record is from RefSeq and is a predicted model, not a curated record. Lineage: Eukaryota; Metazoa; Arthropoda; Malacostraca; Decapoda; Parastacidae.